This 1170-nucleotide ribosomal RNA is filed under the name 'Brassica napus' phyllody phytoplasma. RNAcentral's name for it is "bacterial SSU rRNA". It matches the Rfam family "Bacterial small subunit ribosomal RNA", at positions 184 to 1355 of the family's 1533-position model. The record is from RNAcentral. Lineage: Bacteria; Bacillati; Mycoplasmatota; Mollicutes; Acholeplasmatales; Acholeplasmataceae.
GAAGGCAUCUUCUUGUUUUUAAAGACCUAGCAAUAGGUAUGCUUAGGGAGGAGCUUGCGUCACAUUAGUUAGUUGGUGGGGUAAAGGCCUACCAAGACUAUGAUGUGUAGCCGGGCUGAGAGGUUGAACGGCCACAUUGGGACUGAGACACGGCCCAAACUCCUACGGGAGGCAGCAGUAGGGAAUUUUCGGCAAUGGAGGAAACUCUGACCGAGCAACGCCGCGUGAACGAUGAAGUAUUUCGGUACGUAAAGUUCUUUUAUUAGGGAAGAAUAAAUGAUGGAAAAAUCAUUCUGACGGUACCUAAUGAAUAAGCCCCGGCUAACUAUGUGCCAGCAGCCGCGGUAAUACAUAGGGGGCAAGCGUUAUCCGGAAUUAUUGGGCGUAAAGGGUGCGUAGGCGGUUAAAUAAGUUUAUGGUCUAAGUGCAAUGCUCAACAUUGUGAUGCUAUAAAAACUGUUUAGCUAGAGUAAGAUAGAGGCAAGUGGAAUUCCAUGUGUAGUGGUAAAAUGCGUAAAUAUAUGGAGGAACACCAGUAGCGAAGGCGGCUUGCUGGGUCUUUACUGACGCUGAGGCACGAAAGCGUGGGGAGCAAACAGGAUUAGAUACCCUGGUAGUCCACGCCGUAAACGAUGAGUACUAAACGUUGGGUAAAACCAGUGUUGAAGUUAACACAUUAAGUACUCCGCCUGAGUAGUACGUACGCAAGUAUGAAACUUAAAGGAAUUGACGGGACUCCGCACAAGCGGUGGAUCAUGUUGUUUAAUUCGAAGGUACCCGAAAAACCUCACCAGGUCUUGACAUGCUUCUGCAAAGCUGUAGAAACACAGUGGAGGUUAUCAGUUGCACAGGUGGUGCAUGGUUGUCGUCAGCUCGUGUCGUGAGAUGUUGGGUUAAGUCCCGCAACGAGCGCAACCCUUAUUGUUAGUUACCAGCACGUAAUGGUGGGGACUUUAGCAAGACUGCCAGUGAUAAAUUGGAGGAAGGUGGGGACGACGUCAAAUCAUCAUGCCCCUUAUGACCUGGGCUACAAACGUGAUACAAUGGCUGUUACAAAGGGUAGCUGAAGCGCAAGUUUUUGGCGAAUCUCAAAAAAACAGUCUCAGUUCGGAUUGAAGUCUGCAACUCGACUUCAUGAAGUUGGAAUCGCUAGUAAUCGCGAAUCAGCAU